AUGGCUUGUUUUAAUUUGUUGAUAAACCAGCAGAAACCAUGGUGUCAUGUUUCUAAUAACAGCGUCUUUAGGCUGGUUAAUGUUUGUAUUGGAGACCACUACCUUUUAUUUCGCUUGUUUCUUACCAUCUUCCUUGCUUCUCUGGCUGUUUCACGGUUGGGAGGGUGGCAUGGCGUUGGGGCUGUCUUGCGGGUCGGCCGGAGAGGGAGCACACCGAGUGGGCUUCUAAGAUGGCUGAGGUCACCAGCUACAGCUAGCCCAAUGUCAUGCAGGUGUAACGAGGAACACAUACGAGGAGUGGACGAUGCCAGAGGUGAGGUUCUACUGUGGAGUGCCAGGUUGGUUGCCAUGGGAGGAUCUGGCUAG
Molecule: ribosomal RNA, 366 nt
Filed under: Triticum aestivum (bread wheat)
Lineage: Eukaryota; Viridiplantae; Streptophyta; Magnoliopsida; Poales; Poaceae
Description: partial small subunit ribosomal RNA
Source: RNAcentral